This 253-nucleotide ribosomal RNA is filed under the name uncultured bacterium. RNAcentral's name for it is "partial 16S ribosomal RNA". It matches the Rfam family "Bacterial small subunit ribosomal RNA", at positions 524 to 776 of the family's 1533-position model. The record is from RNAcentral.
UACGAAGGGGGCUAGCGUUGCUCGGAAUCACUGGGCGUAAAGGGUGCGUAGGCGGGUUUUUAAGUCAGAGGUGAAAUCCUGGAGCUCAACUCCAGAACUGCCUUUGAUACUGAAAGUCUUGAGUAUGGGAGAGGUGAGUGGAACUGCGAGUGUAGAGGUGAAAUUCGUAGAUAUUAGGAAGAACACCAGUGGCGAAGGCGGCUUACUGGUCCGGUACUGACGCUGAGGUGCGAAAGCGUGGGGAGCAAACAGG